GGAGAUGUACCCAAGUGGUUGAAGGGGAGUGUUUGCUAAACACUUAGAGUUCGUAAUGGGCUGCGGAGGUUCGAAUCCUCUCAUCUCCGCCA
This 92-nucleotide transfer RNA is filed under the name Clostridiales bacterium. RNAcentral describes it as "tRNA-Ser". It matches the Rfam family "tRNA". From Rfam's summary of the family: Transfer RNA (tRNA) molecules are approximately 80 nucleotides in length. Their secondary structure includes four short double-helical elements and three loops (D, anti-codon, and T loops). Lineage: Bacteria; Bacillati; Bacillota; Clostridia; Eubacteriales. RNAcentral also lists the same sequence under 1 other name. The record is from RNAcentral.